GAAUCAGCAGGGAGAGAAAACCCUGUUGAGACUGAUUCUAGUCUAGCACGGUGAAGAGAAAUGAGAGGUAUAGGAUAAGUGGGAGGCCCCCGGCACCCUACCACCCCUGUGUCUGCGAGGGAGCGGGGUGGGGUGCACCGGCCUUGCAGGCCACCAGUGAAAUAUUCUGAUCAUUUUUUCACUGACCGAGUGAGGCGCAGGGGCGGGGAGAGGGGGGUGCGUGGCAGUGGCAAGCUCAUUUCUGGCACCAAGUGCCCCGCCAGGGCCAGUGCCAGGUGGGGAGUUUGACUGAGGCCGUACACCUGCAAAUGGUGUCCUAAGGCGAGCUCAGGGAGAACAGAAACCUCCCAUGGAGCAGAAGAGCAAGAACUCGCUUGAUCUUGAUUUUCAGUACGAAUACAGACCGUGAAAGCGGGUCUUCACAAUCCUUCUGACCUUUGGGGUUUUAAGCAGGAGGUGUCAGAAAAGUUACCACAGGAAUAAUUGGCUUGUGGUGGCCAAGUGUUCAUAUAGUGACGUUUUUGAUCCUUUGAUGUCAGCUCUUUCUAUCAUUUUGAAGCAGAAUUCACCAAGCGUUGGGAUGUUGACCCACUAAUUGGGAACGUGAGCUGGGACUAGACUGUGGUGAGACAGAUUAGUUUUACCCUACUGAUGAUGUGUUGUUGCCAUGGUAAUCCUGCUCGGUAGGAGGAACUGCGGGUUCAGACAUUUGGUGUAUGUGCUUGGCUGAGGAGUCAAUGGGUCAAAGCUACCAUCUGUGGGAUUAUGACUGAAUGCCUCCAAGUCAGAAUCCCAUCCAGGCAGAAUGAUAUGGCAGCCCUGGGAAUCCUUGGUUGGCCUUGGACAGCCAGUCCCCUGCCAUCCCUGCCAGCGGCCUGCCACCCACGUCCCUCUAUGCACAGCAUGGCAUGCCCUGCUGCGUGCUGGGACCAGGUCAUACAUUAGGACCGGAUCUGGUGCAGAAAGCCUUUCGUCCUAAGACACGGGGCACAGCCAGAAAGAUGGCUACCCCCUCGCCUGUCACCACCACAGGUUUGUGGGGAACCUGGUGCUUAACCAUUGGUAGAUGACCUGCUCCUGGGUUGGGGUUUCAUAGGCAGCAGAGCAGCUCCCUUGCUAUGAUCUAUUGAAAGUCAGUCCUGGACACAAGGGUUU
RNAcentral lists this non-coding RNA (1155 nucleotides) under Bos taurus (domestic cattle). RNAcentral describes it as "Eukaryotic large subunit ribosomal RNA". It matches the Rfam family "Eukaryotic large subunit ribosomal RNA", at positions 2391 to 3399 of the family's 3401-position model. Lineage: Eukaryota; Metazoa; Chordata; Mammalia; Artiodactyla; Bovidae. The record is from Rfam by way of RNAcentral.